Molecule: ribosomal RNA, 404 nt
Filed under: uncultured soil bacterium
Lineage: Bacteria
Description: bacterial SSU rRNA
Rfam family: Bacterial small subunit ribosomal RNA
Source: RNAcentral
AGAACGAACGCUGGCGGCAUGCCUAAUACAUGCAAGUCGAACGAACACUUCGGUGUUAGUGGCGCACGGGUGCGUAACGCGUGGGAAUCUGCCCUUGGGUUCGGAAUAACAGUUGGAAACGACUGCUAAUACCGGAUGAUAUCGAAAGAUCAAAGAUUUAUCGCCCAGGGAUGGGCCCGCGUAGGAGUAGCUAGUUGGUGAGGUAAAGGCUCACCAAGGCGACGAUCCUUAGCUGGUCUGAGAGGAUGAUCAGCCACACUGGGACUGAGACACGGUCCAGACUCCUACGGGAGGCAGCAGUGGGGAAUAUGGACAAUGGGCGAAAGCCUGAUCUAGCCAUCGCGCGUGUGUGAAGAGGUCUUCGGAUUGAAGCAUUAGUUGGAGGAGGUAGUAACUAAUACGUU